RNAcentral lists this long non-coding RNA (354 nucleotides) under Bos indicus x Bos taurus (hybrid cattle). RNAcentral describes it as "lncRNA (ENSBIXG00005006610.1)". The record is from RNAcentral. Lineage: Eukaryota; Metazoa; Chordata; Mammalia; Artiodactyla; Bovidae.
AUGAACGCACAGGUCUUUACUCCUUGUGGAACCUCUCUUCCAGCUUUCAUUGCCUUCUCUGCCCUACAGAGAGCGUGGAUUUUUUCCCUGCACGCCAUUUCCCUCCUGGAUUCACAGCUUAACCUCUUCAGUGAGCUUGGGCUUUCACUAAAGGCAAGACAAGAGCUUUGGAGCCGCCCCUCCCAGAAGGGCUUCAACUGUCAGGAGCAGAAGCUUGGACUCUGUGAGAGACUUGCUCUGUGGAGAGCUUCAAGAGGUGCCACGGGAGCUGCUGCCUGGAGCUGCCUUACCAGGAGGAAGGUAAGUCUUCCGGGCUGGGAGCAGCCCUGUUCCUCUGUCCUUUCAAGGCUGGAC